Molecule: ribosomal RNA, 253 nt
Filed under: uncultured bacterium
Lineage: Bacteria
Description: partial 16S ribosomal RNA
Rfam family: Bacterial small subunit ribosomal RNA
Source: RNAcentral
UACGGAGGGUGCAAGCGUUGUCCGGAUUUACUGGGUUUAAAGGGUGCGUAGGUGGGCGGGCAAGUCGGAGGUGAAAUCUCCGGGCUUAACCCGGAAACUGCCAUUGAUACUAUUUGUCUUGAAUACUUUGGAGGUAAGCGGAAUAUGUCAUGUAGCGGUGAAAUGCUUAGAUAUGACAUAGAACACCAAUUGCGAAGGCAGCUUACUGGACAGUAAUUGACACUGAGGCACGAAAGCGUGGGGAUCAAACAGG